This 72-nucleotide transfer RNA is filed under the name Camelus bactrianus (Bactrian camel). It matches the Rfam family "tRNA". Rfam says of the family: Transfer RNA (tRNA) molecules are approximately 80 nucleotides in length. Their secondary structure includes four short double-helical elements and three loops (D, anti-codon, and T loops). Further hydrogen bonds mediate the characteristic L-shaped molecular structure. tRNAs have two regions of fundamental functional importance: the anti-codon, which is responsible for specific mRNA codon recognition, and the 3' end, to which the tRNAs corresponding amino acid is attached (by aminoacyl-tRNA synthetases). tRNAs cope with the degeneracy of the genetic code in two manners: having more than one tRNA (with a specific anti-codon) for a particular amino acid; and 'wobble' base-pairing, i.e. permitting non-standard base-pairing at the 3rd anti-codon position. The record is from Rfam by way of RNAcentral. RNAcentral also lists the same sequence under 2 other names. Lineage: Eukaryota; Metazoa; Chordata; Mammalia; Artiodactyla; Camelidae.
GGAGGUCUAGCUCAGUGGUAGAGCAUGUGCGUAGCAUGCAGGAGGUCCUGGGUUCAAUCCCCAGUACUUCCA